GAUGAACGCUGGCGGCGCGCCUAACACAUGCAAGUCGAACGAGUAAGACGCCUUCGGGCGUGCAUAGAGUGGCGAACGGGUGAGUAACACGUGACCAACCUGCCCCCUCCUCCGGGACAACCUCGGGAAACCGAGGCUAAUACCGGAUACUCCGGGCCCCCCGCAUGGGGAGCCCGGGAAAGCCCUGGCGGGAGGGGAUGGGGUCGCGGCCCAUCAGGUAGACGGCGGGGUAACGGCCCACCGUGCCUGCAACGGGUAGCCGGGCUGAGAGGCCGAUCGGCCACAUUGGGACUGAGACACGGCCCAGACUCCUACGGGAGGCAGCAGUGGGGAAUUUUGCGCAAUGGGGGCAACCCUGACGCAGCGACGCCGCGUGCGGGACGAAGUCAUUCGUGACGUAAACCGCUUUCAGCGAGGAAGAACCAUGACGGUACUCGCAGAAGAAGCCC
RNAcentral lists this ribosomal RNA (449 nucleotides) under uncultured bacterium. RNAcentral's name for it is "bacterial SSU rRNA". It matches the Rfam family "Bacterial small subunit ribosomal RNA", at positions 28 to 493 of the family's 1533-position model. The record is from RNAcentral.